UCAACUCUUGAGAUGAUGCAAUUGUGGGC
Molecule: non-coding RNA, 29 nt
Filed under: Homo sapiens (human)
Lineage: Eukaryota; Metazoa; Chordata; Mammalia; Primates; Hominidae
Source: RNAcentral